This 2413-nucleotide long non-coding RNA is filed under the name Capsicum annuum. Its description in RNAcentral is "long non-coding RNA (CANN_LNC020640)". Lineage: Eukaryota; Viridiplantae; Streptophyta; Magnoliopsida; Solanales; Solanaceae. The record is from RNAcentral.
GAGUAUAUUUAGUUUCCUCCGCUAUUAAUAGGGUUCACGGCGUGUGAACCUAUACUUUGGUUAAUUCAUCGAUACUGCAUUCUGAUCAAAUGUGGUACUGUGAUGAUAAUCUUUAUGGGAGGAAGGAGACGUCCUUCCGUUAUGACCAUAUUGUCAUCAUGGAACUUUCGUUCUGAUGGAUUUUCUCUGUAUGGGUGAGCCUUUCUAAGUUUUAUCUUUUAAACGGCAUUGCCUUGUCUCCUAAGAUGGAUAAGUCCUUCUUGUGAUGCACCGUUAGCUUGUGAUGCACCGUUAGGGUGCACACUCAUGUGAAGGGUUUGGAACACCUCAAACCUGGAUGGAUGCAAGCAUCACCCUUUGGUAAGGUGGUGUUUUCAUUUGUGCGUUACUUGAAGGUCUGUCGGAAAUUCUCAUGCUCUAGCACUUUGUUUGCGUUAAAAGGGGUGAGUUUUAUUUGAAGUUAAGAAAGAAAAGGAAUAAACAAUUCUGGUCACAAUACUAUUACCGUGACACCUUCUUUUCUUCUUUUAGAAUUCACCUCCUUUUAGUGCAAUCCUAGUGUUCGGGGUGAGGGUUAAAGACUAGAUCCACGGAGCACUGUGCUCCUAGGGAAUUCUAGAAAUUAACUACUUCUAGAACGGAACACAUAAGACUAUGUAUACAAUACAAGGAAAGGAAAAAGGUCUCUUAGGGGUACCACAAAGAAAAGAAUCAAAAUAGCUAAAAAGAGUCUGCUUCCUUUAUCAUAUAUAUGAGAUAGUAGAUCACCUUUUUUUUUUGAAGCAAAAAAAAAGGUGAUCUACUGUUGUAGUCUUCUUGACAUAUCAAGUCAAGAGGGCGAGGCUCCUAGCAAUGGGGGGAAAGGGGAGUGGGUAAGCGGGCUCCUUUCACUUGACUGGUUAGUUAGGAGUGAUCUUUUUUCUACGAUGUUCGAGAUCUUUGUCUCGCAGAGGGUGAAAUGAGAUCUUCUUGGAACAAGGUCAGAGGCGUUGGACGGACCAGUUUCUUCUGAUUCCAAUGAUAGAUGGAUGGUCAGGUCGGUAACAUAUGGAUGGAGGACUUCUACAGGGUCUUCUCGUGCGCUCGACUAGCAAGGUGGUUUUGUAGGCGAACGAAAUAAGUUUUUGGAGGCGAGCGGAGUGAGGCAAUGAAAUUGUUUAGGCGAAAGAAAGGAGAGAACGAGUGGAGUUUCGAGAAUGAGAAUCAUAUAUUUUCUCAUUUCUUUUUCGUAGUAAGAAGACACUAAGACGCACCCACUACACACCACACACUCAGACGACUAGCGUGGUCCUUCCCCCAUCGAAGAGCCACGUAUCCAGGGUUGACCACAUCAUCACUGUUUUAUCAAGGUGUGGCCACGGUCUCAAUUGGGUCAUUGUUUAGUAUGCCCAAGCUUGACAAUAGCUGUGGAUAUUUUGAGUCCCUCAGAACGCAACUCCCUUAUGAGUUGGAAGCCAAGACAAAUGGAUUCCACUUCAUAGGUACCGUUCACCUCACGUGAAGGCUCGCUCAGAACACGUACCAAGCUUUUAUUAGAAAGGAACAGAACAAAGAGGAGUGCUCCACUCCGAAAGAGAAGGAACGGAAAGAGCAGGCGGCAGAGAAAGAGACAAGGAGGAAGAAGGGGGCACUACGGGAAGAGCAUCCAAGACGCGCUAAGGCAAAGGCAUAGAGCUCAAACACAGGCUUAGUAAGCACAGAUUCCCUAGAAAGAAAGAUAAUUCUAGAAAUUAACUACUUCUAGAACGGAACACAUAAGACUAUGUAUACAAUACAAGGAAAGGAAAAAGGUCUCUUAGGGGUACCACAAAGAAAAGAAUCAAAAUAGCUAAAAAGAGUCUGCUUCCUUUAUCAUAUAUAUGAGAUAGUAGAUCACCUUUUUUUUUUGAAGCAAAAAAAAAGGUGAUCUACUGUUGUAGUCUUCUUGACAUAUCAAGUCAAGAGGGCGAGGCUCCUAGCAAUGGGGGGAAAGGGGAGUGGGUAAGCGGGCUCCUUUCACUUGACUGGUUAGUUAGGAGUGAUCUUUUUUCUACGAUGUUCGAGAUCUUUGUCUCGCAGAGGGUGAAAUGAGAUCUUCUUGGAACAAGGUCAGAGGCGUUGGACGGACCAGUUUCUUCUGAUUCCAAUGAUAGAUGGAUGGUCAGGUCGGUAACAUAUGGAUGGAGGACUUCUACAGGGUCUUCUCGUGCGCUCGACUAGCAAGGUGGUUUUGUAGGCGAACGAAAUAAGUUUUUGGAGGCGAGCGGAGUGAGGCAAUGAAAUUGUUUAGGCGAAAGAAAGGAGAGAACGAGUGGAGUUUCGAGAAUGAGAAUCAUAUAUUUUCUCAUUUCUUUUUCGUAGUAAGAAGACACUAAGACGCACCCACUACACACCACACACUAAGACGACUAGCGUGGUCCUUCCCCCAUCGAAG